UACGUAGGGUCCGAGCGUUGUCCGGAAUUACUGGGCGUAAAGAGCUCGUAGGCGGCCUGUUACGUCUGCUGUGAAAUCCCGGGGCUUAACCCCGGGCGUGCAGUGGAUACGGGCAGGCUGGAGGCAGGCAGGGGAGAACGGAAUUCCCGGUGUAGCGGUGAAAUGCGCAGAUAUCAGGAGGAACACCGGUGGCGAAGGCGGGUCUCUGGGCAGUAACUGACGCUGAGGAGCGAAAGCGUGGGGAGCGAACAGG
This 253-nucleotide ribosomal RNA is filed under the name uncultured bacterium. RNAcentral describes it as "partial 16S ribosomal RNA". It matches the Rfam family "Bacterial small subunit ribosomal RNA", at positions 524 to 776 of the family's 1533-position model. The record is from RNAcentral.